AGUUCAGUCGGUAGAACGGCGGACUGUUAAUCCGUAUGUCACAGGUUCAAGUCCUGUC
Molecule: transfer RNA, 58 nt
Filed under: Aeromonas hydrophila
Lineage: Bacteria; Pseudomonadati; Pseudomonadota; Gammaproteobacteria; Aeromonadales; Aeromonadaceae
Also listed under: 7 other names
Description: tRNA-Asn
Rfam family: tRNA
About the family: Transfer RNA (tRNA) molecules are approximately 80 nucleotides in length. Their secondary structure includes four short double-helical elements and three loops (D, anti-codon, and T loops).
Source: RNAcentral